Molecule: non-coding RNA, 645 nt
Organism: Ictalurus punctatus (channel catfish)
Lineage: Eukaryota; Metazoa; Chordata; Actinopteri; Siluriformes; Ictaluridae
Source: the annotation of a RefSeq genome assembly
CUACUACAGAGUUACUGUGUGAAUUUAGCUUCUGGGGUCAGAUGGUGAUUUUCUGGAAAACACUUUUAGGUCUAAGAUUCAUAAAUAAGUGAAUUAGAGAGAGAAGCUUAAACUUUCACUGGAUGGUGUUUGUACUGAAUGUUAAUGAGUUUCUCACUGUAGUGGAUUUAUGGUGGAAGAAGCAGCAUCAGUGUUGGCAGACUUUCGGUGGAGGAACUAAACUCAUUGUGAAAACUGGUCCGGUGGUGAAGCCCUCCGUGUCUCUGCUCCCUCCGUCCUCUCUGCAGCUCUCGGAGGGAUCGGCCUCGUUGCUCUGCCUGCUCUCAGCCUAUUCUCCACAGGGGGCGCUGCUGAGCUGGACCGUAGACGGUGCCGAGGUGAACGAGGGGGUUCUGACCAGCACAGAAGAACAGAAGAACGGCAUCUACAGCCGCAGCAGCACCCUGACCCUCAGCAAAGAACGUUGGGAAGAGGCCGAGGUGUUCGGCUGUACCGUCUCCCACCACGACACCACUCAGAUCGCCUCGUUCCGAAAGAGCCGCUGUGAAGUCCACUAGAAUUCAAGUGUACACUUUAAAACACGCUUAGCAGUCUGAGGUGGUGUCAGUGGUGUAGCUAUGCUGAAAUAAAGCUUCAAUGUGGAAA